This 6475-nucleotide long non-coding RNA is filed under the name Olea europaea subsp. europaea. The record is from RNAcentral. Lineage: Eukaryota; Viridiplantae; Streptophyta; Magnoliopsida; Lamiales; Oleaceae.
CUUAACACGAUUUUAGAGCAAAAUUCACCCAGCGGCUCGGCAUUUUAUCCUGUUUUCUGCUAAUAUACCGAAUCGAUGCUCUUGCAAAUUUUUCAAUUUUUUUCCUGAGACGACAAAAUUCCCAGAUAAAAUGGAGAGUUCUAAGAAUGGUAGAGAAUCAAAUGAAGAAAUUUCUGAGAAAGAUGAAAAUAUACUAAGUUUUUUGGACUCCAUGGAUACCUAUCUAACUCUUAUGGAUUCCUUGUCUUCAACACUCCGCCAGGUAAAAUUUCUCUUUUCUGUAUUAUUAAUUUCCAUCACUGAAAGAUUGAAUUUUUAUUGACUGGAUCUCCCAUUUUGUUCUUGGAGCGUCUCAUGUGUACCCUUUUUACUGGAGUGCAUAAAACCAGCAUCAUUUUGAUUGAAAUUAUUUCGAGUGCUUAUUCUUUCUGUUAUAUCAGUGGGCAUGUUCUGGUAAAAGAAAACAAGUAAUCUGCAAACAAUAUUCAGAUUUAUUUACCUUGAUUUUUGAAUUUUUUUCUGUGAGAAAAAUAUGAAAUUUGUAUGUAUCAGUGUACGUCUGAAAUUUUCUCUUCUAAAUAUAUUUUUGAGUUUCAAGAUUGCAUUAAUUUUUAUGACUGUUUUCUCAUCGUCGAUGAUGAGGUAAAGUUUCAAGACUCUUGAAUAUAUAGAAAACAGAAUUACCUCACCAAUGAUGUUAAAAGAUACAUUAACCCUAUCAAUACUAUCAUAUUGGUGCAAGAUUCCUGGUUUCAUCUUGUUUUUGUCUCGACUUUUGACCCACGAUCCAAGUGUAUUGUAGAAAACAUCAUCUAGUUGACAAAGCAAACAUAAAGUUAAAUUGCAAGGCAGAUAAGGGAAUCAAAUUCCCCAGGACCAUGUAGAAAUAAGUGCUCAUAACGUUUCUUGAGAAGUUCAAAGUUUUCCCUUUUCAAGUUAUUAUAAUAGAAUGUAAGAGUUGAAUCUCAACAGAACAUAACCCAACCCAGACCAACAAAAUCAAAAAAAUUCAACAAGUAAAUUGAGCAAUUUCAACUGAACUUUUUAUUAAGCUGAUGAACAAAUGAGAAUAGAGGUGGGAGAAGAGGGAAAUGGGAAGGAUAUUCGUGUAACUGAAAUUCUGCAAUACUGCAAUGAACAAGACAGAUUAUCCUUUCUCCAAAUCGUCGCUGAUAUACCCUCACCUCCUAACCCACUAGAUGCCAAAUUUUAGCAGCAUAUUAAAAGAAAGCGUGUUUGUUACAAGAAUUAAUCUACUUGUACCAAAUGUCUUAUCUAAUUUUUGACUGAACUGACACAUGGCCUGUCCACUGCAAUAAGGGCGCAACACUUGUCAAUUCGAUCAUCCAUUUGGUAAAUGAUUUGGUACAUAUAGCAUCUCCCUUGUUACAAUUCUUUCUAAUUAAAAGAAAGGUAAAAGGCUAUUUCAUCAGCUUAUCCUUAAGUUGCAACAGCAACGUUUCCAUCAAUCUAUCUAUUAGUAUUUCUGUUAAUCCUGCUUCUCUAACCCUUUCUUCUGAAAUGAACCCUUCUGCAAGUUUUUCCAUUCCUGACUUCUCCUUAUGACAUAGAAUACUUGAGAACUUAGAUUCAAUAAGUUUUUAUGCAUGAAACUUUCGAGUCUUUAAUGUUCAUUUAUGUCCAACUCGCUCUUAUCUUAUUCUUGACAUCGUGUUUUAGUCAUCCUUUCUCAUUAUUGAUUGAACCUUAGCACUUAAAACGAUUACUUUUUGAAAUGACUUCGUUAUCACCAUUAUUCCUAUUGUUACAAGGACAUCUUCUAUCAUUUCAUUUUUAUUUCAAAUAACAUAAAAUCUUCUGAUUAUACUAUUAUCCCGCUGUCAGUUUCAUCAAUUUUUUUUUUAUAGGUAAUCAAAUAAUUUUAUUACUUAAAAGAGAAUACACGGGGGGUGUACAAUCACUUUAAGCUAUUAAGGAAAAGCAUGAAAUUAGGCAACCCAUCUACAGGAUUUCUAGCCACCGCAUUAAACGAAGAAUACAAGGUAAAGUAAAAUGUUUCUCUUAUCUGCUCUCUUGUCUUUGUUUGGUCUUCGAAGCAACGGUUGUUCCUUUCUCUCCACACGCACCAAACAAUGCAGCCCGAGAUAAGGUGCCAUGCUAGUUUGCUAUCCUUAUCCCGAAGUUUUCUAUGCCAUGCCCGUAUCACGUCCUCUAUACGACGAAUCAUCACCCAAUCCAUAGAUUGUGAACUGAUUAUAUUGUUCCAAAUCCAACGUACACCAUCACAAUGAAUGAACAAAUGAUCAAUCGUCUCCCCAUCCUUCUUGCACAUAUAACACCACUCGGUUGCAUAAAAGCCUUUACGACGAAGAUUAUCCACCGUUGAGACCUGUUCCCUCACAACUGUCCACAAAAGGAAUGCCACCCGAGGAGGCAAUUUACACUGCCAAACCAACUUCCAUGGGAAUGAAUUAUUCACACAUCCCAUGAGGGAACCAAAGUAUGACCGAACCGAGAAAAUGUCAUCCUGUGCUGUCCUCCACUUGAUGCAAUCCCUCUCUCCAAUCCGAAUUUGGGCCUCAUGUAAAAUGAUCAUAAACAGCGAAUAAUCUUCCAAUUCCCAAUCCUGAAGAUCCCUCCCAAAAGUUAUAUUCCAGCUAUAACUCCCAUUAUGAAUGUCUAAGAGAUCACUCACCAUGGCAGUGGACAUUGAGGCAAUACGAUACAAAGAAGGGAAUCUCUCCUUCAGCGGUUGAUCUCCGCACCAACAAUCAUCCCAAAAUUUAAUCUCAUUACCAUUUCCAACCACAAACUUCAGUUUGUCCAAAAAUGCACUCCAUCCCCGUCGGAUAUACCUCCACAAGCUCACCCCAUAAGAACCACGAUCCUCAAAUGUACACCAUCCCCCAUCGGUCACACCAUACCUCGCCCCAAUUAUUUCUCUCCAGAAACUGUCCCUCUCCACUCCAAAUCGCCACAACCACUUGCCUAAUGAGGCUUUAUUGAACAACACAAGGCUCCUCACCCCAAGACCUCCCAUCCUCAUCGGCAAACAAACAACUCCCUCCUCUCCUCUUCCAACCCUGCCCACAGAAAUUCUCUUUGAAGCCUCUCUAGUCUCUUUGCCACUGCAAUCGAAAUGGGGAACAAUGACAAAAAGUAAGUAGGGAGAUUGGAGAGAGUGGAUUUAAUGAGAGUAAGUCUACCACCCUUAGAAAGGUACAUACGCUUCUACCCUGCUAACCUUCUCUCCAUCCUUUCCACAAUACCAUUCCAGAUAUGGGUACUUUUAAAUCGUGUCCCUAAUGCGAGUCCUAGAUAUGACAUCGGCAACUGCGCAACCUUACAACCUAAUAUAUCAGCCAGCUCCUCGACAUUAUUAACCUCCCUAACUGGAAUAGCCUCAGACUUUCCCAAAUUAAUUUUCAAACCAGACACUGCUUCAAAACAUAAGAGCAGACGGUGCAAGUUCCUGAAUUGUUCUACAUCUGCAUCACAUAAAAUCAACGUGUCAUCUGCAAAUAACAGAUGAGACACUUGCAAUUGAUCAACCAUAAAACCCCUUAUCAAACCCGCUCUCACUGCUCUUUCAAUCAUCCUACUGAGAGCCUCCAUCACAAUGACAAAUAACAAUGGGGAUAAUGGAUCCCCUUGUCUCAAGCCUCUACUGCUUCGAAAAUAACCCUCUGGUGUUUCGUUGACCAAAACUGAGAAUGAAACAGUAGAAAUACAGAAUUGAAUCCAUUUACACCAUUUAUCCCUAAAGCCACAGCGCCUGAGCAUAUAUAACAAGAAACCCCAAUUCACAUGGUCGUAAGCCUUCUGAUAUCUAGCUUACAAAGCAUCCCUGGGGCCCUUAGGCACAUUCUUGAAUCUAUGCAUUCAUUCGCUAUAAGCACAGAGUCCAAAAUCUGACGCAUUUUUACAAAUGCAUUCUGAAACUUGGACACUACUUUUCCCAGUACCUCCUUUAAUUUGUUUGCCAGGACUUUCGAAAUAAUCUUAUACACCCCGCUGACAAGGCUAAUGGGGCGAAAGUCCUUAAUAUCAGUCGCUCCCGGUUUCUUAGGGAUGAGCACAAUAAAUGUGGCAUUAGAACUUCUCUGGAAUCUGCUACGUUCAAAAAAAUAAGAUAAAGUAUUCAAAAUGUCCAGUCGAACCACAUCCCAACACGCUUUGUAGAAUGAGAACGAGAAACCGUCCGGUCCCGGGGCCUUAUCAUCGUUCAUGCUGAAAACGACCUCCUUAAUUUCAUCCUUCCCAAAUGAUCUCUCCAUCCAUCGGGCAUCAUCCUCAUUGAUUGUAGAAAAGUGCAAUCCCUCCAAUUCUUGCCUCCAUUCAAAUUGCUCCUGAUAGAGGUUCUGAUAAAAAUUAACCAGUUGGCUUCCAAUUUCCUAUGGUUCCUCAUAAGUAACCCCGUCUACCUCCAAAGCUGUGAUGGAGUUGUUCCUCCUAUUAGAAUUGGCGACCCUGUGGAAGAAUUUAGUGCAUUUAUCCCCCUCUUUCAACCAAGUAACUCUAGAUUUCUGUCGUCAAUUAAUCUCCUCCAUCUCCACCAACCUCUCCAUCUCUUCCUUUAAUCCUCUAUGUCUCUCAUUCUCCUUCCCAGUCAACCCCUGACUCUCCUUCCGCCUAUCCAAUUCCUCUAUUUCUAACAGACACUGAUUUUUACUGCAGUUAACAUUGCCUACAACUUCCUCAUUCCAUUUCUUUAAGUCCCCUUUCAACGCCUUUAGCUUCUGAUCCAAUACAAAACAGGGAGACCCACUGACUUCAUAGGAAGUCCACCACGUCUGUACUCGCUCCCUAAAACCUUCUACUUUCAACCACAUCUUCUCAAACCUGAAAGGUCUUCUUCCACCACCCCUUCUAUUCCCCGAUAACAUAAUAGGAAAAUGAUCCGAGUAUACCCUCCCCAAUCUUCUCUGAGUGACAUCUGAAUAUUUAGACUCCCACUCCCCACAAAUCAAGAACCUAUCAAUACAAGUCAGAACGGGUUGAUCCCGGUUGGAUGACCAGGUAAAAUCUCCCCCAAUCAUAGGUAAAUCCACCAACAAAUUCUCCCUAAUAAAAUCUGAGAACUCCUCCAUUGCCCUAGUUAGUCUCCCAUCACUCGACCUCUCCGAAGGAAAUCGAAUCACAUUGAAAUCACCCCCAAUACAUGUAGGGAGAUUCCACCAAGCCCUCAUUCCAGCCAGUUCAUCCCACAAACCCACUCUACUGUCAUCAGAAUUAGGCCCAUAAACUCCUGUGAACAUCCACCGAAAUCCAUCCUCACAAUUUUUGAAAGAAAUCGAUAUAGAGAACACCCCUAUACUCACCUCCUUUAUCUCAAGCACUCUAGUGUCCCACAUCACCAACACGCCUCCUGAAAUCCCUGAUGACCCCAAAAACUGAUAUCCAACAUGAUCUCCCCCCCAUAAACUACGAAUCACUGCCCUCGAGAUAAACUCCAUCUUAGUUUCUUGUAGGCAAACAAGAUUUGCAUCCCAUCCCCUUAGCAAAUGACGAACACCAAGCCUUUUACUAACCUCAUUGAGACCUCUUACGUUCCAGCAAAUGAGUUUUGGCAUCAUUGUAACACUCCAUAACCCCUCCCCAUUGUUCCUUUCUUGGACUCGCCAUCCUUACCAGCAUAGUUUACUGACCAUUCGAGCCUCUUAAGCUCACGAUCACCCUUUUUUCUUAAUUUACUUCCAUGUGUACUGAUGUCUUGUCCCCUAUUAGCCUCCAACUCCUUGAAUAAUUGUAGCAAUCUACUUUCAUACCCAUCACAUGACACGCCAACCAACUUACUGAAUUCCUGAAUUUUUUGUAGCACCCAGUUUGAAGGUGGGUGACCAACUUCUAACACAAUAGCUCCUGAAGUAUCCUCACCCUGAUAGCCCUCGAGAUGAUCAAAGGACCGUUCUUUCUCUUCCACCACUGGUAUAAUGUCACUGUCACUUUCUCCUUUCUUGGCACCACCUACCCAUAACACCAAAGCUUUUUCGGUCCCCAUAUCAUUAUCUUUUGUCCUCCUAUUAUAAGUGUUCGUAAUACUUGAUAUCGUCUGUGUAGAGUUGUUUUCUUUCACAGUGUCCAUUGACAAUUUCUCCAAGUUCACCAUACUAAACUCCCCUUCCUUAGACAACGGUUCCUCUUCUCGUUCAACUGCAAUCCCCGUGUCUACUUCAAUUCGGUUGACCCCCACAAAGUCAACCCCGUCAUCGUUUUCAUGGUAUCCCGCUUCCAUCCUCACCUGAGAAUCACAAUGUUCAUCUCCUCCCUGCUUUGCAUGUUCUGUAAUUGAUGGUAGUUCCUCAUGAGUCAAUCCCGGUACUUGUAUUUCACCGAUUUGAUCCUCAUCCAACUUAACCCCACACUUGUGACAGCGUACCAAUUUCAUGGGCUCCAUUUCAGGUCCGCUUCCAACCAAUCUAAGUAAUUCAUCUAAUGCUCCUUUCAACUCCUGCGCACGAGUUAUUAUUUCAGCCCUACUCAAACAAAUGUCUUGACCUUCGUUAUCACCGAC